Molecule: ribosomal RNA, 846 nt
Filed under: Hypogymnia fragillima
Lineage: Eukaryota; Fungi; Ascomycota; Lecanoromycetes; Lecanorales; Parmeliaceae
Also listed under: 1 other name
Description: SSU rRNA
Rfam family: Bacterial small subunit ribosomal RNA
Source: RNAcentral
GGUCAAUAGCCUAACGGCUGAACCAGCAACUUGGAGGAAUGUAUAGCAAUAGCUACUUGCAUCAUUGUAAAAAUGAUGCAGGAUCGACUAUGUCGAAUAAAAUUCUAGGUAGAAUUUUGAUAAUGACAUUGUCUGCCUAUGUGUCUUGACCAAAUUACGUGCCAGCAGUCGCGGUAAUACGUAGAAGACUAGUGUUAUUCAUGUUUAAUCGGUUUAAAGGGUACCUAGACGGUAAAUCAAGCCUAAAAUUAAAUGAAGGGACUAAUUUACUAGAGUUACUUAUGAGGGGGUAUUAAAGUACUGCUGGUGUAGAGAUGAAAUUCUGUCAUACCUCUUUUCAAUAGAAAAAUAAUGGCACAGGUAUAGGCGAAAGCAUCCCCUUAUGUGAUAACUGACGUUGAGGGACGAAGGCUUUGUGUAGCGAACAGGAUUAGAUACCCCAGUAGUCAAAGCAGAAAAUGAUGAAUGUCAUAGAUUAGAUAAAUAAGUUUAUUCUAUAAAUGAAAGUGUAAGCAUUCCACCUCAAGAGUAAUUUGGCAACAUUGGAACUGAAAUCAUUAGACCGUUUCUGAAACCAGUAGUGAAGUAUGUUGUUUAAUUUGAUGAUCCGCAAAAAACCUUACCACAAUUUGAAUAUUUAUAUCUAUUAUUGUUUUUUAAUUUUGAGGCGAUAUGAUAUAUUUACAAGCGUUGCACGGCUGUCUUCAGUUAAUGUCGCGAGACUUUGGUUAGUUCCAUUAAAUUAACGUAAACCCUUACUUUAUUUUUAUAUAGAGUAGUUCCCCGCUAUAUUGGAUAUGAUAACAGGGACUAAGACAAGUCAUCAUGGCCUAAAUAUUGUGGGCU